GAUGAACGCUAGCGGCAGGCCUAAUACAUGCAAGACGAACGGUAAGUUGAGUAGCAAUACUUAGCCAAGAGUGUCGUACGGGUGCGUAACACGUAUGCAACCUACCCUAUACAGGAGGAUAGCCUAGGGAAACCUGGAUUAACCCUUCAUAGUAUUAUUGGAUGGCAUCAUUUGAUAAUUAAAACUGAGGUGGUAUAGGAUGGGCAUGCGUCUGAUUAGUUAGUUGGCGGGUAAUGGCCCACCAAGACGAUGAUCAGUAGGGGUUCUGAGAGGAAGAUCCCCCACACUGGCACUGAGAUACGGGCCAGACUCCUACGGGAGGCAGCAGUAGGAAUAUGGUCAAUGGAUGCAAGUCUGAACCAGCCAUGCCGCGUGCAGGAAGAAGGCUCUGUGUA
Molecule: ribosomal RNA, 395 nt
Filed under: uncultured bacterium
Lineage: Bacteria
Description: bacterial SSU rRNA
Rfam family: Bacterial small subunit ribosomal RNA
Source: RNAcentral